RNAcentral lists this ribosomal RNA (427 nucleotides) under uncultured Luteolibacter sp. RNAcentral's name for it is "bacterial SSU rRNA". It matches the Rfam family "Bacterial small subunit ribosomal RNA", at positions 355 to 774 of the family's 1533-position model. The record is from RNAcentral. Lineage: Bacteria; Pseudomonadati; Verrucomicrobiota; Verrucomicrobiia; Verrucomicrobiales; Verrucomicrobiaceae.
UCGAGAAUAAUUCACAAUGGGCGAAAGCCUGAUGGUGCAACGCCGCGUGGAGGAUGAAGGUCUUCGGAUUGUAAACUCCUGUCAUUGGGGAGUAAGACCUGGCGGUGAAUAGCCGACAGGGUUGAUAGUACCCAAAGAGGAAGGGACGGCUAACUUCGUGCCAGCAGCCGCGGUAAUACGAAGGUCCCGAGCGUUGUUCGGAAUCACUGGGCGUAAAGGGAGCGUAGGCGGCGUGGUAAGUCAGAUGUGAAAUCCCGGGGCUCAACCCCGGAACUGCAUCCGAUACUGCCGUGCUCGAGGGUUGGAGAGGUAGCUGGAAUUAUCGGUGUAGCAGUGAAAUGCGUGGAUAUCGAUAGGAACACUCGUGGCGAAGGCGAGCUACUGGACAACAUCUGACGCUGAGGCUCGAAGGCCAGGGGAGCAAAAG